ACGCUCGACACCUACGGGAGGCAGCAGUGAGGAAUAUUGGUCAAUGGGCGCUAGCCUGAACCAGCCAAGUAGCGUGAAGGAUGAAGGCUCUAUGGGUCGUAAACUUCUUUUAUAUAAGAAUAAAGUGCAGUAUGUAUACUGUUUUGUAUGUAUUAUAUGAAUAAGGAUCGGCUAACUCCGUGACAGCAGCCGCGGUAAUCUGAGCGGGCUGGCAAGGC
RNAcentral lists this ribosomal RNA (218 nucleotides) under uncultured bacterium. RNAcentral's name for it is "partial 16S ribosomal RNA". It matches the Rfam family "Bacterial small subunit ribosomal RNA", at positions 328 to 539 of the family's 1533-position model. The record is from RNAcentral.